Non-coding RNA from Psilocybe cubensis, 92 nucleotides. NCBI's taxonomy places the organism in Eukaryota, Fungi, Basidiomycota, Agaricomycetes, Agaricales, Agrocybaceae. The record is from the annotation of a RefSeq genome assembly.
GGCGAUGUGGCCGAGUGGUCUAAGGCGCUGGAAUUAGGCAUUUCGUCGCUAUCCAGUCCGAAAGGGCGUGGGUUCGAACCCCACCGUCGUCA